This 253-nucleotide ribosomal RNA is filed under the name uncultured bacterium. RNAcentral's name for it is "partial 16S ribosomal RNA". It matches the Rfam family "Bacterial small subunit ribosomal RNA", at positions 524 to 776 of the family's 1533-position model. The record is from RNAcentral.
UACGUAGGUGGCAAGCGCUGUCCGGAUUUAUUGGGUUUAAAGGGUGCGUAGGCGGCCCUGUAAGUCAGUGCUGAAAUAUCCCAGCUUAACUGGGAGGGUGGCAUUGAUACUGCGGGGCUAGAGUACAGAUGAGGUAGGCGGAAUUGACGGUGUAGCGGUGAAAUGCUUAGAUAUCGUCAAGAACACCUAUAGCGAAGGCAGCUUACUGGGCUGUAACUGACGCUGAGGCACGAAAGUGUGGGGAUCAAACAGG